AGGAGGAACAGCCCCAGUGGCAGGGCCACUCUGGAAACCUAGAUUCAGCUCCGGAGCUCUCCGUCUGCAGGGCCUGGAGGCUCCGGGCGGGG
This is a non-coding RNA of Canis lupus familiaris (dog), 92 nucleotides long. The record is from Rfam. NCBI's taxonomy places the organism in Eukaryota, Metazoa, Chordata, Mammalia, Carnivora, Canidae.